AACGAACGCUGGCGACAUGCCUAACACAUGCAAGUCGAACGAGACCUUCGGGUCUAGGGGCGCACGGGUGCGUAACGCGUGGGAGUCUGCCCUUGGCAGCGGAAUAACAGGUAGAAAUGACUGCUAAUACCGGAUGAUGUCUUCGGACCAAAGAUUUAUCGGCCAGGGAAGAGCCCGCGUAGGAUUAGGUAGUUGGUGGGGUAAAGGCCUACCAAGCCGACGAUCCUUAGCUGGGCUGAGAGGAUGAUCAGCCACACUGGGACGGAGACACGGCCCAGACUCCUACGGGAGGCAGCAGUGGGGAAUAUUGGACAAUGGGCGCAAGCCUGAUCCAGCAAUGCCGCGUGAGUGAUGAAGGCCUUAGGGUCGUAAAGCUCUUUUACCCGGGAUGAUAAUGACAGUACCGGGAGAAUAAGCUCCGGCUAACUCCGUGCCAGCCGCCGCUGUAA
RNAcentral lists this ribosomal RNA (449 nucleotides) under uncultured bacterium. Its description in RNAcentral is "partial 16S ribosomal RNA". It matches the Rfam family "Bacterial small subunit ribosomal RNA", at positions 29 to 523 of the family's 1533-position model. The record is from RNAcentral.